Molecule: ribosomal RNA, 907 nt
Filed under: Salmonella enterica subsp. enterica serovar Paratyphi B var. L(+) tartrate +
Lineage: Bacteria; Pseudomonadati; Pseudomonadota; Gammaproteobacteria; Enterobacterales; Enterobacteriaceae
Description: partial 23S ribosomal RNA
Rfam family: Bacterial large subunit ribosomal RNA
Source: RNAcentral
GUGAAAUUGAACUCGCUGUGAAGAUGCAGUGUACCCGCGGCAAGACGGAAAGACCCCGUGAACCUUUACUAUAGCUUGACACUGAACAUUGAGCCUUGAUGUGUAGGAUAGGUGGGAGGCUUUGAAGUGUGGACGCCAGUCUGCAUGGAGCCGACCUUGAAAUACCACCCUUUAAUGUUUGAUGUUCUAACGUGGACCCGUAAUCCGGGUUGCGGACAGUGUCUGGUGGGUAGUUUGACUGGGGCGGUCUCCUCCUAAAGAGUAACGGAGGAGCACGAAGGUUGGCUAAUCCUGGUCGGACAUCAGGAGGUUAGUGCAAUGGCAUAAGCCAGCUUGACUGCGAGCGUGACGGCGCGAGCAGGUGCGAAAGCAGGUCAUAGUGAUCCGGUGGUUCUGAAUGGAAGGGCCAUCGCUCAACGGAUAAAAGGUACUCCGGGGAUAACAGGCUGAUACCGCCCAAGAGUUCAUAUCGACGGCGGUGUUUGGCACCUCGAUGUCGGCUCAUCACAUCCUGGGGCUGAAGUAGGUCCCAAGGGUAUGGCUGUUCGCCAUUUAAAGUGGUACGCGAGCUGGGUUUAGAACGUCGUGAGACAGUUCGGUCCCUAUCUGCCGUGGGCGCUGGAGAACUGAGGGGGGCUGCUCCUAGUACGAGAGGACCGGAGUGGACGCAUCACUGGUGUUCGGGUUGUCAUGCCAAUGGCACUGCCCGGUAGCUAAAUGCGGAAGAGAUAAGUGCUGAAAGCAUCUAAGCACGAAACUUGCCCCGAGAUGAGUUCUCCCUGAGACUUAGAGUCUCCUGAAGGAACGUUGAAGACGACGACGUUGAUAGGCCGGGUGUGUAAGCGCAGCGAUGCGUUGAGCUAACCGGUACUAAUGAACCGUGAGGCUUAACCUUACAACGCCGAAG